AUAGAGUAAGUGCCAAGUAGAAAGCAUGAGAUAAUAACUCUAGUGGGAGUAGAGUUGAUUGGACAACUAGAUUGUCAGGUAGAUCGAGUGGCAUCAACCUAGUGUUAAAGAACAUAGAUUGAACAAGUGAACCUAGAGUCGAGCAAUCUAGGUGUGUGGCAUCGAACCUAGUGUUAGUAAACCUAGGUCGAACUAGUAAACCUAGAAGUGGACAUCUAGGCAAAGGGGACAAAAACUUAGCAGGUGUAUCUAGGUUAAGUGACGUGGACAUAGAACCUAGAGUAUUAGAAUCUAGGUUGAUGAGUAUAGUGGUAUAGCCACUAGGAUGAGAUAGGUCGAAAGUAUAGGGUUGGGUAUGGACACUCGAUCUGUGGAAAGUGGAUUCUGGAAUCCCAGGACUUGUGAUGACAAUGAUAUAAUAAUGUGAUUGUAAUUUGGAAGUAAAUGUAAACUGAAAUUGAGAUGUAUUAAGUGAGUGAAUGCUUGUAAUAGCAGUAGUUUAUGUAUUUGAUACUUCCUUUGCAAUCUGGAUUGAUAUCCGUUCCUAGUUGGAACAUUCGUUGAUUGUUUGGAUUGCGACGCCUAGAACGUACAGGGGAGACUCUGUCCGCGUACAGGAAAAACCCCGGUCCGUUCGGCGGUCUGUCGUCGGCGUCGCGACCCGGUCCAAAUUGGCGGUUGGUUGCCGGGCGUGACAGAUAAAGCGGUUUCAGAGUAUAAAGUAGAAAAUGGGAAGGAAAUGGUUUAGACAGACCUAGGAGACCCUAGGAUAGUGAAACCAUAGGGGAAUAAGGCUCGUGAGAGACGAGGACUUGUGAUUUGUGGUGAAAGGGUAAUGGAUUGGGUCGUGUCAUAACCUCUAAGACGGACAUUAGAGGUAGACUCAAGGUAUGGUUUAUUCUCGACCAAGUAUAUUUAUGUUGGGCGCGUACAACAUAAAGUCGAGAGACGAGAAUAGACGUCCUUGUUUGACUUUCGCCUGAUUGGCUUUUGAGCCGUAUUAGUGGUCUCGUGUUCGACCCAAGUUGGUUGAGAGUUAAUCGAGUUGUCCUGUUUCAGGAAACGAUGGCACCGCGUAGGCGAUCUUCAUCCAGAUCGGCGCGGGAGGGGACGAGUGGUGCCCCUGAGCAAACCGACGUGAGCGGAGAUGCGGAGCUUCGUGAUCAGUUGGCCACACUCGUAGGAGUGGUGAGGCAACAGGCUGAUGUGGUGCAGCGGCAGCAGGAGGCCGCCAUGCGCCAAGAGGAGCAAAUGAAAAUACUCCAGGAGACGCUAGAUCAGCUGGUGGCUGUACCAGCUGCGGCUGGUCAAAGACAGUCGGGAGUUGCGGCGGAGCUGUUCCCGUCGGGGUCAGGCGACCCGACUUAUUAAUCCAGAGGUAGCGGCGGAGAGGGAGCGAGCUUUGGCUGCCCUCAUGGCUUUCAAGAAAUUUGAUCCGCCUACAUUCGAUGGAGAAGAUACGGAUCCGUGGGUCGUUGAGAUGUGGAUUGAUUCAAUGGAAACACUCUUCGAGGAUCUGUACACGUUGGAGCGAGACAAGGUAAACCUAGCCGUGCAUUAUCUCAAACAGUCGGCGAAGGUGUGGCGGAAAGGCGUCAAGCGAGAUCGACCGCCUAGUCUCCCUCCUAUGACUUGGGAAGAGUUUCGGGGAUUGGUAUUCUCUGCUUAUUUCCCCGAUAGUGAAAAGCGAAAGCUCAAGGAAAGAUUCCUUAAGCUGCGGCAAGGAAGUCGCACGGUCAGACAAUACGAGCGGGAGUUUUCCCGUAUCGUGCAUUGUAUCCCGAACGUGGUGCGGGAUGACAAGGACAAGGCCGACUGCUUCGUGCGUGGACUUCGGUCAGAUCUUUACCAGGCAGUGCUGGUGCUCAAGUUGCAGACUUUUGCUGAAGUCCUGGAUCAGGCCUUGUGGAUAGAGCAAGGCAAUGAGUUCCUGCGGGAGAAGCGCGAGGAGCAUUACAAAGAAAAAGGGAAAGGACGGCCAGUAAGUGGACAUGAUGGUCAGUCAAGUUCCCAGCAGACCUCUGUGAAGUCACGCUCUCGAUCUCGAGCUCCGGGGACGUAUCACAUUCGGUCCUCGGCGAGAUGUGUGAUUUGUGGGGGCCCUCAUUUCCCACAGCAGUGUGAACAGCGAGAGGGCAAGUGCUUUAAUUGUGGGCUGCCGGGCCAUGUGCGGGAUGAGUGUCCGCAAGGUGAUAGCUGGGCCUUGGCACUGACGACGGCCUAUACCUCUUUGGGACAGCCGACGGGUGUGCCACCUGCGGCAUGGUCGGGCGAGCAACCAUUGAGGGUGUUGCAACGAGAGGGUUCGCGACGAGCGCCGAGUGGCCAUAGAUAAGCUACCCGAGUUGCGGUGCCUGCCGUUGUCGACGUCGUCAUGGCAGGUACGAGUUAAUAGAGCAAUCGUAUGCUUUCACAUGAUCUCAAGUUGAUGCAUAGCAUGCAUUCAUCGUUGGUCAAUUGUUACUAUUAUUGCAUUGUAUAGUAGGGACCGAGUGGUCGGGUUGGUAGGUACCCGAGCAUGCUUGCAGGACGAGGGUAUAGCGCCUGCUAGAGCAGGUAGGAAGCCAAGUGACACUAGCGAAUGGCUGGUGAUGGUUCUUGGAUGAGAAAUAGGGCUCGUGGUGAACGUGGUUUAGUAAGUGACUCUCGAGGCAAUGGAUUAGAGAUUGUGAGAGUUGAGCCUUGAUGUUCGAGAAUACCCAAGUACUCCAAGAGUAUGUCGGAUACGGAUUCGAUAGAUCGAAUGAUGGUGAUGAACCACUGUUGCGAAAUUGGUUGAUUAGCGCCGAGCUUGGCCUGUGGGCCUAGUAGUACCUCGAAUCGAGGUGGACAAGUUGUUGCUCGUGUGGCCGGUGUGUAUAUGCUAAGUUGCCUGAUGCUAGACUUCGUGCGAGACGCUAUAGAGGCAUAGAGCGCUCGAGUAAAGUUACUCGUGAGGUGCGGUAUUGAUUCAGCCGGUCGAGUGAAUUAGCAGUAGCACUUUAGCAUGGCUAAGUGUGAAGCGGGCCAUGGACCACUCGUGAGGGCUGGUGGCUCGCACUAGGUGCUUAGGAGCCGAUAGAGUGUGUAGCUCUGUAGAGCAUGUCGUGUAGGAUAACGUUGGUAGGUGGUGCUUGGGGACGACCCGUGCCUGGACCAUUUGUGGAUUGUAGAGCCUGGGCCCAUUAGGCAGGCGCAGUCAGCUGUGAGAGACAGCGGCCUGAUACCUAUAGGUAGGGCGGAGAAUUUGGUCAGGACGGUAGUCCGAGUUUGGACCCGAGUACGUGGAAUGCCACGUGUUGGAUCGUGAGAUCGUUAAUGCACCGAGUGUGUAGCAACCCGACCCGUAGACUUAACGAGGUUUGGGGACUUGGAUGCUCCUGUUUGGAGUGUGUGCGAAUUCUCUAAUGAGAAUGUCGCCCAAGAAUGUUGAUUGGGUCUACGCUUACGAGCGAGAGACGCUAGGCGCUAUUGAGACGAGUUAGGCGAUUGACCUAUGAAGGAUCAGUGGCCUUUUGAUCCACUUGAGGAAACCGAUGACUGGUACAGCCGAAAACUCUAUUAAUGAGUUGGGCUUAGAUCCGCGAACGGAGGAUUCGUGUGAUAUUGGACAUGGCUUGUGGUAUCAAAGGAUAAAGGAAAGUAAAGUGGUCUCUAGGAGACACUUGAAUGAUGAAUAGCCACGUGAAAAGUUGGAGUUGAGAAUGAUGCUCACAAGAAGAUCGAGAACCUAAGAUGCACGAGAGAAUGCCAUCUCGUGAGAGAUGAGAAUGAGAUGAUAUGGAUAAGAUGAUAAGGUGGUAUCGGGCUCUCAAAUAGCCAAAGUAGUGAAGUGCCACCUGAGGAGUAUUUGAGUAAGUCGAGAGGGUCUACCCGUGCACAUAGAGUUGUGGUGGUGGAUCAUUCAUCGAGUUGAUGCGAUCUUGCUGGAUCCACACCACUAGGACAAAGAGGGUAGACCUGAUCUCGAGGGAUGGUGAUGAUGUUCGCUAGAACCGCGAAGGAAUAGGUCCUUCAUUAGCCGAGUGGCUAGUGAUGUUAGUGUGUGGGGUCUUGAAUAUUGACCCACACUACCAUUGAGGUUUGUAAAGUGAUAAUGCACUUUCGAUGUUACAAGUAGAAAAUGUGAGUAAACGUGGUCUCACAUUCUUUGUAGUUGGCCUUUAGACGAGUUCGAUGAGAAUAAAGGCCGCUCCGAGGUGCAAAAGUGCAUUGAAACCCUUGAGUACUCGAGAAGUAGAUCGAGGAAUAAAGAGGGGUUAGAAAUGAGUAAGUUUCGAGGACGAAACUCUUUUAAGAGGGGGAGAAUGUCAUACCAUGAAUCCUCCAAAUUCGAGAGUUGCGCCUCGUCCAGGAUCGACUAAUGGUCGAAUGGAUAAGUUUUGGAAAAGCUAAGGAUGCACGAAAAUCGAGAAGUGCAUUGGGAUGGAGUCCGCGAGAGCAAAUAAUGCAAUCUGCAUUUUUGGGCUGAGGUUGCUCUCCGGGACCGGUCUCUAGAGGUGAGAGACCGGUCCUAUAAGCUGAAGGCUGCGGGGUUGCUGAUGCAACCGGUCCCUGGCAUAGGAGGGACCGGUCCCAGCCUGCGACACCAGUGAGAAGAGCCAAAAAUUGGCUAAGUCCCGCGAGAUGAGCUCUCGGGGACCGGUCUCUCCGAGAGGAACCGGUCUCCGGGGGACCGGUCUCGCAGGGAGAGACCGAUUCCCGAACGCGUGCCCGCGGGGGGAAGCCCCGGGGACCGGUCCCAGGUCGGGGAGAUCGGUCCCUCCGCGCGCAGCAUGCCCAGUAAGGGCUGUGUAAGAGAUGGAAAGUGGAGGGGCUUAUGUGCAAAAUGGCCAUAUGAGGGGUUAUUUGAGAGAGACCUUUCUCUCUCUCUCUCUCUGUCUCACACCCUCACACUCUCCCUCACUGUCUCUCUCCCUCUCUCUCUCUGUUCGUAGCAGAGGAAAAAGGAAAGGAAGAGAAGAGAGGAAGGAAAAGAAGAAAAAGAGAAAAGGGAAGGAGAAGAAGAAGAGGAUCAAGGAGAAGACUCUUCCUCAUCUUCAUCUUCAUAUUCUUCUUCCCCUUGGAGCUCAUUGAGAGGUAAGCUUUGUGCCCUCUCAUGGUAGAUUUCUUGGGAAUAGGUUUUAAACCCUAGAAAUGGUUAGAAUGGAACCCUAGCAUGCUAUUUUGAUGGAUUUUCCCUAUUUCAUAGAUCGAUUUGGUGGAUUUGCUAGUGAUGGCAUUCUAGGGCAUCCAAGUGGGGUUUUUGUAAAUAGAUGAGUUUGAUCUCAUUUGACCCUUCGUAAACCUAAUUGGUAGGUAACGAAACACGUUGGCGAAGUCGGUUCAGCAAUCCGACAAGCCGUUGCAAAGAUAUCGAAGAAACAGGCGCUCGGAGCUUCGUUUCUGCCUGGGAGGCCGAUGCGACGUCCAUAAAUCGUGAAAUCGGGUUCCGAGCACCGUAGCAGCAAGGCAAAGAUCAUUAGCACUUGAAACGGCGAAGCGGCGCGCUCUUGGAGAGCAACUAUGAGAUCGGGCCCAAACGAGUGCCGAGUGCCGCGGGAGGCCGAUUGCAAGUGUCGACAAGCAAUCAGAAAGCUAACUAAGGUGGGUUGUGCUUACCGAAGCGACUAGGUCGCCCUUUAUGUCUUAGCAAUGUAAUCUCAUGUUGAUGCAUGUGUAUGUAGACAAGACUGAUCGGUGCAUUAAUAAAUAUGCAUAAAGUAAAGGCUAAGUAAAGAAUGCUAGCUAACAAUGAUGCAUGAUGUAAAGUAAAUGCAUGAUGAGCAUGAUAAAUAAAUAAUGCAAGCAAGUAAUUGGAAUGCAUGAUGAUAAUAAUGCAUAGUAUAAAUGCAUGUUAAAUAAUGAUGCAUAGAGCCAUACUAGUAAAUGUUAAGUAGAGAGCAUGAUUAAUAUAAGAUGCAAAUGCUAAAUGGAAAGCAUGCUAAGCAAUUAAUGCUAGUUAACGUAAAGAAUGCAUAUACUAAUUAUGCAUAGAUGGAAAUGCUAAGUAGAGAGCAUAAUGAUCAUAGCACGUAUAUAAUGCUAGUUAAAGUAGAGAAUGCAAAGUAGCAUCACGAGAGCUAAGUAAGUGACAUGAUAACUCUAGUGUAAAUAGAGUUAGUUGGACAACUAGGUUGUCAGAUAGAUCGAGUGGCAUCUAACCUAGUGUUAAAGAACAUAGGUUAAACAAGUGAACCUAAAGUCGAACAAUCUAGGUGUGUGACAUUGAACCUAGUGUUAGUAAAUCUAGGUCGAACUAGUAAACCUAGAAGUGGACAUCUAGGCAAAGAUGACAAGAACCUAGCAAGUGUAUCUAGGUUAAGUGA
RNAcentral lists this long non-coding RNA (6287 nucleotides) under Ananas comosus (pineapple). Its description in RNAcentral is "long non-coding RNA (ACOM_LNC000721)". The record is from RNAcentral. Lineage: Eukaryota; Viridiplantae; Streptophyta; Magnoliopsida; Poales; Bromeliaceae.